This is a small nucleolar RNA of Apteryx haastii (Great spotted kiwi), 132 nucleotides long. Lineage: Eukaryota; Metazoa; Chordata; Aves; Apterygiformes; Apterygidae. The record is from Ensembl.
GCAGACUCACUCUGUGCCGAACUGCAGUCUUCAGUUCAGGUGCUUUUUCUGUCUGCGAAAGUAAUAGUUCACGGGUGUGAGAAACACUUCUUUCAUGUAGAAGUCUGUUACAAUUGCUCUUGGGACAUUGUU